AAGCCCAUGAUGAUAAAAAUAGAACUGGAAUUACCAUCUGAAUAACUUUGAUGUAAAUUUCUUGGCUGUGGUACUGAGGCUUCAC
Molecule: small nucleolar RNA, 85 nt
Filed under: Medicago truncatula (barrel medic)
Lineage: Eukaryota; Viridiplantae; Streptophyta; Magnoliopsida; Fabales; Fabaceae
Source: RNAcentral